CAGUAGUGUAUAUUAAAGUUGUUGCAGUUAAAAAGCUCGUAGUUGGACGUCUCUGCAGCUACUCCCCCUCGGAGGCGCUGCAGAUCUGCCUAGCGGCUCCGCUCGGCGUUCAUUCGUUGGCGGGGACACGCGGGCAUUUUACCUUGAGGAAACUAGAGUGUUUAAGGCAGGCUAAAGCUUGAAUACCGCAGCUGGGAAUAAUGCGCUCGGGAUGUCUUGGCGAGACAACUCGAAUUUAUUAAUAGGGACAGUUGGGGGCAUUCGUACUCAGCAGUCAGAGGUGAAAUUCUUGGAUUUGCUGAAGACGGACUAGUGCGAAAGCAUUUGCCAAGGAUGUUUUCAUUAA
RNAcentral lists this ribosomal RNA (346 nucleotides) under uncultured eukaryote. RNAcentral's name for it is "partial 18S ribosomal RNA". It matches the Rfam family "Eukaryotic small subunit ribosomal RNA", at positions 592 to 976 of the family's 1831-position model. The record is from RNAcentral.